UUUCCGUAGGUGAACCUGCGGAAGGAUCAUUAAUGUGUUUCGGCCUCACGGCUCCUCAUUCCGACGCUGUGCCCCUUCGGACUGCACGCUGAGGGAGCAUAUAUCCACCCCGGUUCACACUCACGAUGGAGUGCUGGGUAACGCCGUGCCGCUGAUCUUUAAACAAGACUAAAAGCAAUUGUUUUUUUAUUUUAUCUAAUAACACAACUAUCAACGACGGAUCUCUCGGCUCUCGUAACCAUGAAGAACGCAGCAGAUCGGAAGAGCACCCAUCUGAAU
RNAcentral lists this unclassified non-coding RNA (279 nucleotides) under plant metagenome. RNAcentral's name for it is "partial contains small subunit ribosomal RNA, internal transcribed spacer 1, and 5.8S ribosomal RNA". The record is from RNAcentral.